This is a long non-coding RNA of Lycium barbarum (goji berry), 4271 nucleotides long. RefSeq lists it as uncharacterized. The record is from RefSeq and is a predicted model, not a curated record. The transcript is spliced from 7 exons. Lineage: Eukaryota; Viridiplantae; Streptophyta; Magnoliopsida; Solanales; Solanaceae.
CAAAUUCUCCCAAGAAUGCCAAAAAAUCUUUUCUCUAGGGCCUUAAUUUUCCCAAGAAUCCCCAAAAUAUUUCUUUUUCAAUCUUAAUUCUCCCAAGAAUCCCAAAAAAUCUUUUCUUUAGGGUCUUAAUUUUCCCAAGAAUCCCCAAAAUUUUGUCCUUUACGAUCUCAAUUUUCCCAAGAAUCCCCAAUAAUCUCUCCGCCAUCACUACCAAAUAAUUUUCCCAUUUCUCAUUAUCUUUCUAAUUCCUCUUUCUUCAAUCUUUGUUAUUAUAUAAAUACUAGCUAUAUUCUGGUAAAAGAAUGAAUAUAUUCCUCAAAAAAUCAUGGAUAGUGAUGUUUGUGCAAGGUUUGAGAAGAAAAAAGAUAAAAAAAAUUCUGGAAAUAAGCACUGCAGAGAUGACCAAAUGGGUGAUGACGACGAUUAUUUCUAUGCGGAAGGAACCCAGAAAAGGAUGAAGAUUCAAAUCGCUGAUGUCGGGGUAGAUGCACAAAAAUGUUCAUCAAAGAUUUGGGAUUUAUAUGUGAAGAAGCCUGGUGAUAUCACAUCAAAGCCUAGUGUCCACGUAAAUGUAAAUGUUAUAGAUGAUUUGAAGGAAAAUUCAUCACCUAUACAGUUGGAUAUGUUUCGGAGUACAUGUUUUGGAUAUUUUCUUGAAAUGAAAAAAGUUGUUGUACAAAACCAAUUAAUUCAUUACUUGUUGUUGAGGGAGGUGUAUCAUGAGUUAUGGGUUGAAUUGAAUGGUGUCAGGCUGCGUUUUGGGUUGGAGGAGUUUGCAUUGGUAACUGGUUUAAAUUGUAGUGGUGAUGAUGUGAAUCAUCAUGAUCCUGAUUCGGACAAUCAGUUGGUUUUGAGAUGUUUUGCUGAUUAUGAAAAGAUAGAUAAAAUCUGCAUUGAUGACUGCUUCAAACAAAAAAGAUGGAGCACUGACGAAGAUGCCUUAAAGAUUUCAGUUUUUUUUUUUUUUUUUUUAUAUAUAUAUAUUUUGUUUUCGAAUGUAAAAGGUAAGACCGUUGAGAGGUCUUAUUUAGACAUUGUGGAGAAAGGUGAAUAUAACCACUAUCCCUGGGGCAAAGAUGUGUUUAGAGCCACUUUGGAAUCUAUGAAGGACAAGUUGAGAGGAAAUCCUAAAAUGUACAGGAUUGGUGGUUUUCCAUUGGCGUUUUAGUUUUGGUUUUAUGCAUGUUGUCAAAUGGUUAAAUCAAAAAUUGCUUUGCGCAUGGAGGAAAAAGUACCCUGCAUGCUUGGAUGGAAAGUUGCAGACAAACCAACGUUCAAGGAAGUUUCAAAGUACGUAACGAAGAUGAAAAACAAUAAGUUAUUUUUGAAGAAUAUUUCUCCUACGGAUUUGGAAAAGGCGAAAUUGAUGAAGAACGAGUCUUUUGUUCAGGAGAAUGUUGUUGGUCUUAUUCUCGAAAAGGAGAGUGUGAAGGGGAAGGAAAGGGAGGUAUUUGAUGAAAUUUAUGGUAAAAGAGCUGACAGUGAUGAUGAUUUUGCAUCUCCUCCGCGUCAUAUAAUUGGCAAACAGCUAAAAAGCAGAGGCGAUUUCUAGUCCAGUGAUGCUAAGUUUAAAAAGAUUUUUGAAGGUCAAGAUGAGCUGAAGAAAGAAAUUGGAACGAUCAAAGAGUUAUUGCAAGACAAAUUUGAUAAGCUUCUUAAAGCUCUUGAGAUAAACAACAAGAACCAAGAUCAGAGUUUCAACAAUGUGGAAGUGGUGAUGGUUGUGAUUGUGAUGAAAUUAGACAAGACAUUAAGGAUGGUAAUAUCAAUUCAGAUUUUAAAACGCAUCCCAAUCUCGAACAAAAAGGACUCGUGAUUGUUGAUGAUCUUGCUAAGAACAUUAGUGAUGAAAAAGGAGAAUCUCGUGAACUCACUGAUGCUUAUGUCACUACUAUACAAUGCAACGAUAUGGACAAGGCUUCUGUUGGAGAAACGGUAGUGCAUGGAAAGUGGGUGGAAUUCACUGAGUCUCAACUGGCCGUUCAAUACCAGAGUCUCAGAUUACACCUUUCACUCAAGUUGUGCCUAGUAAUAUCACACCGAUAUUAGGGCCGAGCACGAGACGUCGCACACCUGUUUGUAACUCACCAUUUUUGAGUGACUUUGAUUCCGGUCACCUUGCAGUUCAAGAUAUGCAGAACGAUUCUACAGGAACUGUUAAGCUUCCUUUUGAAGCAAGUAUUACUGAACAAAUCAGUUUGGAAAUGCUUUGUGAGUUCGGCUGGUGGGUUGAUAUUUGGUUAGAUGGAGAUGGACUCAAGGGACCGCCAUAUUCGAAGAAGUACAACAAGUUUGCUCCGGCAUUUGAUUUUGGAGUUGCACAAAUCAAGUAGAAGUCUUGGUUUUUUGCACUAGAGUACAGUGGUGAAGCCCUUUGUAAUACGGUAUGCUGAUUCAUAUUGGGGAUUAUAGAUAAUAUAUUAAUCAUAUACUAUAUAUUUCUUAUCAUUAAGUAAUGUAGUUUUUGGUGGAUGUUAUUAGGAAUAAGUUACUAUAUAGGAAACUACUGCAACAAGUUUUCUUGGGAUUUAUUACUAAGUUAGAAGAUUAUAUUCCAAUGUCAUAAUAGACAUGUUAGAAAAAAGUGGAUCCAAGAUUUUAAGUUACUGUACAGAUUACUACUGCACCAAUUUCUGAAAAAAGAUUCAGCUUUAUUUAUGGUUCAGGCAGCAUCCACUGCACAAAUACAAUGUGCUUCGUGAUUUUAGAUAAUAACAAUGAAAUCCGCAACUAUGAGUAACUGUAAUGAGUAGUUUUCAUCUUUGGAUCAAAUAGAAGCCAAGAAAGUUGAAGGUGAAGAGAGAAUUUCUAGCUAUAGUCUGUUUCCAUCUUCUUAUGUAUACUGUUACGAAGAACCAAGUUGUUGUGCCUGAAUUUCUACCAAAUGAUAAAGUAUCUUGAGAUAGGGGAGUUAAUGUUAGCAGGUCGUUUUCACUGUCAAGUUCUUCUAUGGCAAUUUGUACAAAUAUACGACAAUUUUUUCAUAUAAUGUGUAUUAUUGCUCCAAUCUUUUUAGAAGACAUGCACUAUAUACUCCAUCUUAUACUUCACAUCUCUUUUUUGCCUUGUUUAGCAGUGUCAAUUAUAUUGCUGCACUCCUGCCUACGACAACAGGGGAUUUGCCUUCUGGGUUGAGCUCGUCACACGGGGCUUGCCUAGUGCAGGUUACCUCUUGUGUGGUUUGCGAGCUAUUGAACAGGAGCUGGGUUUACCCUGUGCGCACCCGAAGGGUAGCGGCUGCGGGUUCCCAUGUCAUAAAAAAAAAAAUUAUAUUGCUGCACUCAUCUUAAUCAAAUGAAAUAUCAAUACUUCGAACAACAAUCAUAACUUAUUUGAAUUACAGCACAUUGAUUUCAUAUUUUACUAUUUGCGGAAGAAGGGUAAAUACGGACGUGACGUGCAAGUAAACUUCACCACAACUGAUUAUUUGUUUGGGGAUAAGAUAAAAGGUAUUUAUAAAAAAUUCCUUCAGGUGACGAACAAAAAGCCUGUGAUUAGUGGUAAGCAUAGAAUUGCUGAUUACAUUGAAGGUUAUUACAUGCUAUGCAACAAGGCGUGGUAUCCUAUCGACUAUGUAUUUUUCUCGGUUAAUCCUUCAAAUGCAUGGCACUGGGUCUUGGGGAUAUUGUCAUUGCAUGACAGAUGCAUUUAUGUGUACGAGUCUAUGAGAGGUGUGGAACAUGAUGUCAUUGUCCGUCAGGAGAUUGAGUCGUAUGCUACUGUCCUCCCAUAUUUCAUGAAUGUUGUUGAUUUUUACGCAAAAAGAAGUGAUAUUGACUUGGAUGCUGGUCCAUACUUCGGAAAGAAUGUGCUGGAUCCUUUUGAAGUGAAAUUGGUUGAUGAUCUGCCAUUACAAAACGACACAUACGUUAAAAUUAUGUCAUAUUUUUUUCAUUUAUCAUUUAUUAUGUCACUGAUACUUUAUAUUUCUUUUCAGUGACUGUGGGGUCUAUAUGGUAUCAUUUGCGGAGUAUUUUAUUGAAGGCAGGAAUAUGACUGAUGAAGUAUUUGAAGCUUUAGAUCUUCAUAACAGACUUGGGAUUUUGCUAUGGAAUUAUGGAAAAAUGAAGCAGUCACAAAACUAUACAUCUGAUCCUGAGGUGACUGCAAAAAAUGGGCGUAGAGGUGUUAUGAAAAGACAAUAGGAGUUUUUUGAGAUACAUAUCAGUUGCUUUUGAUGUUCUAAUAAGAAAUAUUUUAGAUCUGUCGUUUGUGACACUGUUGACUAGUUAAAUAAAGAUAUACCUUUUCUGGUAUGCUGUUGUGUUUUG